This is a long non-coding RNA of Paramacrobiotus metropolitanus, 2240 nucleotides long. RefSeq lists it as uncharacterized. The transcript has 2 exons. Lineage: Eukaryota; Metazoa; Tardigrada; Eutardigrada; Parachela; Macrobiotidae. The record is from RefSeq and is a predicted model, not a curated record.
GCUUCGAAGCUUUCGGCAAAAGCAUCAAAACAAUCACCAGUAACAACACAAAACUCCCUAACUGUUAAUCAACGUUGUAACAAACAACAAAAAUAAAUUUAUUUAAUUUCAUUCCCAUCCCGUGAUUCACAGUACACCCUCCACGGCCCAUAUACGUAGUGAUUGCCACCCUCCUGAUCAUCCAGCUCCAGGCGCGUUAUUGACUCCAGAUCACUUUCCAGCUCCUGCAAUUUGUAGCAGCGGGGUAUGCGCUCUGCCGGUGGAUUGGCCGGAUCCGGGAACGACUUGGCGGGUUCGGGGGGUUUGCGGGGGAUAUGGAAAUACGAUUUCCUGGCGGCAAUGGAGGCAUUGUCCACGCUGGAGAUCAAGGCGAUCAAGAGGCAGGUAACACCGGCGGCAGUGGAGAUGAGGAACAGCGACAUGAGCGGUUGCGCCACGCUGUCUUCAAAGUAGUGCUGGCGCGCCCACUGCGAACCCGCCAGGGCAAAGCUGGGCAGCGCCAGAUGGAGGAUCGUGUCCAUUUCGGUGUGGAGCCUGCGUAUGUCGAGGAUACUCUCUUUACAGGGAACCGGUCGAAGUAGCAGAGACUGCGUUAAAUCUGUAAUCACUGUACUAUUUUGCUGCUAAUACACAUAAUGUUCUUACUCUACCCAAGCGUACUCUGCCCAGAAAAGCGUCACAGCAUGCCGCUACGAUGUUUUCUCAAAAAAGGAUGUCUGUGACUUAUGACUCAUGAGCAUACUGCCAGAAACACGGAUCAUCUGUGUGCAACGCUGUUUUAAGUUGGACAGACUGCCGAAGACCCAACCAAGUGGCUAUCCAAUGAGCCAAAGGUUUGCUACAAAGGUCACACGAAAAUGAAUUGUGUACUCACUGUCAUGGCGCACCCUGAGCCCAUUGAGAUCGGCCAUAUAAUCGUCGUUCUGGUACUGCGAUAUCCUUAGUUGCUGUUGUCGUAUCUUGGAAUCACCGGACAUUAGACAAACACCCACAAAAGCGAACGAUGCCGCCAAUCCGCCGAUGAAGUAGCCAAUGAAAUCCCGGUAGGCAACACAGUACUGUGAAACGGUGCGGAGGUUGAAGUGCUGGCGAUUGACAAUCACAGGUGACGUCAUCGCACUGCACGGCACCCGACAAUCUCCUGCCUGCCUAAGAUCAUGUUGUCACGAUUUUCAUAUGAGGCAAUUCCACAAGCUGUCGCUUAAAAUCAUGUUGGCCGUAACGCCGAAUUAGAUCACUCUCCCGUGCAAAAGAUGGUAUGUUUGUCAAGGUUUGCUUUUAAAUGCAAACAAAUUUUGCAAUAUGUAUUGACUGUCAAUCUGUCAUCUAUGAAUUUUUUGAAUUGAUAUACAGGGCAGUAGACGGUUUGCGUUAACUUCAGUUGGCAAACAGCGCACCGCAGGGCGAAGAACACCCAGCUGGUUACCAUCAAUACAGACAAAUUUUUCCGUUGGCCACGUGGUAAACUUUAUGGCAUGCGCUUUCCGUCGUGAAAACCAUGUUUACAAUAGUAUACUAAUAAUAUAAUUAGAACAAUAAAUUGAUAUCAGUUGAGAGAAAAUAUUUUUAAUUAAUCAUGUGUUCGGUAUAAUUUUUGUACGUCUGAAUAUACAGAACCUACGUAAAUAAAAGAAAGAGUACCCACGUCAAUAAAAGAGAGAGAAGCGUAUCUCGUUCCUAUAGCAAUAGUAUCCGGCAAACAUCAAUGCCGCCUGGGAAAAUUUGGAAACUUAACGAAUUGUACACAGCCUGCACAAAAUUAUUUAUAUUUAAUUAAGUAGUACUACUGUUGUAUACAAGCACAGCACUGUAGUUCUAUCGGUAUGCGGUCAGUGCCUCAGGAUGCUGCACCAGCAUCAUCAGUGCCACACGCUGGACUUGCAGCACAUCAAGCAGUGCGGACUAAUUUCUCUGGGUGUGGCUAUUCAUGCCUAUUGGUUGUACAGCAUUUACCGCAACUACCCCACAUCCAUCUUCGGCAGUGGCCCGUCACUUCCACCGGCGACACCCGGUCGACCGUCACAGUCGGCUCCCGGCACGCCUGCCCCAUCCUGAUUGACAAAAGAUAAUUUUAUCUCAGUAGUUAGUGCUUGUCGUGUUUUUGACUUUUUUAGCCUGUCUUUCGAUAGCGGCUCCUUUAUUGUGCGUAAUCCAUAUCGUUACAAUAAUGUCAUACUUUCGGCGACCUACAUCUCUGGCUGUUUCGCUGGAAAGAGCGCACAAUAAAAGGGCAUAGCAGU